GAUGAACGCUGGCGGCGUGCUUAACACAUGCGAGUCGAACGGAAAGGCCCAAGCUUGCUUGGGUACUCGAGUGGCGAACGGGUGAGUAACACGUGGGUGAUCUGCCCUGCACUUCGGGAUAAGCCUGGGAAACUGGGUCUAAUACCGGAUAGGACCACAUUUUGGAUGGUGUGGUGGAAAGUUUUUCGGUGUGGGAUGAGCUCGCGGCCUAUCAGCUUGUUGGUGGGGUAAUGGCCUACCAAGGCGUCGACGGGUAGCCGGCCUGAGAGGGUGUACGGCCACAUUGGGACUGAGAUACGGCCCAGACUCCUACGGGAGGCAGCAGUGGGGAAUAUUGCACAAUGGGCGCAAGCCUGAUGCAGCGACGCCGCGUGGGGGAUGACGGCCUUCGGGUUGGAAACUCCUUUCGCUAGGGACGAAGCGUUAUGUGACGGUACCUGGAGAAGAAGCACCGGCUAACUACGUG
Molecule: ribosomal RNA, 466 nt
Filed under: uncultured bacterium
Lineage: Bacteria
Description: partial 16S ribosomal RNA
Rfam family: Bacterial small subunit ribosomal RNA
Source: RNAcentral